CCGGUAGCCACCGUGAUGUCCUGACACCGCCCCAAGAAGCGACAGUUACCCUGGUUCCCUCGAAGCCAGCACUGUGACCUGAGGUCCCCACACCCCACAAGGAAAGGAGUCAGGGAGAACCAGUGAAACCCACCAUAGUAAUGAAGGCAACUCCUUGUUCUACCUAAAACAGCGCUUUUUCUGCUAUCCUCAGAAUAUUCAGCAAAUGCAACUGCUAAGAAAAGGUAACUUUUGCACUCACUCUUUCUUUUCCUGGGGAGGUGCUUCCAGAUUAACAUUCAACUCCUGCAGCUGCUCAUCAUCCUUUGCUUCUUGCCUUCCUCUAGCAUCAGGGCUUAUAUGAAGUGUGCCAAUCUUUUCAGUAGUUUUGCGUACAAAGCUGGAAACACUAGGAGUCAGAAGUUCAGAUAUUUAAAAUGGUAAGUACAAAUCUGAACACAUCACUUUCUUUCCAUUCAAACCAUGAUUUCAGAAAACUUUAUAAUCUGAAGAAUUCUCAAGAAAAGGUUAAGAGCACCAAUGACCAACAAGAACAAAAUUCACUAAUAAGCUGCUCAAAAUUCUUACUUCAGUCAUGGUUCAUACUUUCAGCACAGAAUAAAACCCUGAAUUAUUGAAGACUUGGAUUUUUUUGCUGCUGGAGAAACAGCAUAUUAACAUUAGUGCUUAUAUCAGGACAUGUAUUUAAAUGCAAAUAAAUGCAGGUUAGCCACAUUGCAUUUUAAAGCUUAUAAAGCAUCAUUAGGAAAUUAUGUCCCUCUUGGGGGUAAGAAACAGUUUUACAGUACUCAAAAUUAAUUCUUCAGAUUAUAAAGCUCACUAUAAAUGUCCUUGUCAUGUCAUCAGUCCCUACCCCUUCAGAUAUUUUAUCCAAGAGGAAGUCCAGUGAGCAUUUUAUUCAAGAGGAAGCCCAGUGAACAUACCAAAACCCAAUUAUUUCUACCACUGCCAUGAAAGGAACUAUAUCAUCCACAGUUGAUCAUAAAAAUCAGCUUCUUGCUUUCUGGCCAAGAACUAGUUUCAGAGCAUCAAGAAAAAAGCAACCAUUUACUUGCUUGCCAGAGCAUAUGGCAUCUUUUACUACACCAAGUAUAGCAACGGAUGAAGGCUGCUGCAGAAGAGAGCACAAAACAAUUGGACUUUAAUGUAUAUAAGGAUUAAAGGUAAACUUAAAAAUCAAUUUUAAGUGUGAUAGUAAUGUAUUUAAUUAUAAAUUGAAUACAGUAAAUACUUGAAUACUUAGUUAUUAUUAACAGAAACACUUAUUACUGGUAAAGUCCUAAAAUUUGCUUACAGUUUAAAAAGAAUUCAAAACAUUCAAAACAAGGUUAUUCUGAGAUCCUUAUACAAUUGAUAGCAGCUACAGUCUUCUGUUGCAGGACAUAUAUUCACAUACCUAAGUUAUUAAGGGAGGGCUAUGCAACUUCUCACACCACCAUUACGGGCCAGCAACAUUUUACCUCAGAAGCUAACAUACAUAGUUUUUUUCAAUUUUUUAUGUUUUUAACACCAUCUCCUUUACGUGUGUGUGUGUGUGUGUGUCCCUGUUUUUUAAAGCAGGUUUUAGAGCAGCAAUUUGAUUUCUCAUAGAAUAGACAUUACCAUAUUUACUUGCACUGGGCAUAAGCUACCAUUAUUCCAUAAACACUUGGGAAAUUGCUUAGAUUCACUGAAAGGUGCAUAUGGGGAGAUAGCAGACCAUGCGGUAUAAUUUGCAGCUGUGUUUUAGCACUAUCUAGCAUGCUUUGAAUAUUUUAAUGUUUGUCCCUAAACAACAUCAGAAGCCUUCACUCAUUUGUAAGAAAUCUAAGUACCAGAAAAGCAAAAUCCCAAACCAAUAUUCAGUAAGUUUGCUUUAAAGACAAAUCACAACCACAGUUCACAAGGCAGUGUUAAACAUUCUCAGUCAUUUAAGCAUUCUUAGCCAUUUCAAAGCAGAGGUUGAAAUCUUGGCUCCACUGAAGUUAACAGCAGUUCUAACUUCAUUUGAGAAGCUCUAAAUAGCCUAGCAAACUUGACUGCAUCUCCAGUGUUUCAGUUCACGUGUUACGUUUUUGCAGAACAUAGCAUGAACUAAACCAGACAAGGCUACAAAUUCAGAGGACAGAAAAGGGAAAGAUGUAAUGGACGGGUGAACCUGCUGCAUGUUUUACCUUUCUUUGACAGCUUGGAGAGAGACGAGAGGAGAUGGGGAACGAAAUGACAAAGGAAUACUGAAUGGAAGAAAUGUCUCAUUCCGGUCAGCUUCAACUGUCACAGAUGUAUGAGAUACGUUGUCUAACAAAUGGAAUUGAAAUAAAGAGUCAUGAAACAGUGACCUGACAAAAAUGGAACAGUGAAACUAACUGCAAGUCACUAAUUCAUAAAUGGAUAACCUGCAUGAGAUAUUUUCCUCUUUAAUACUCAGGAAUGUGUGGAACCAGAAAAGUGCUACUUGGUUUCAAGAGCCAUUUUAUUACUGACUUUGGACCUAGUUAAGUCUGCUUUGUUAACAGUCUUUUGGCUCUGUAACAAGGCAAAUUAUGAUCAACAACUGUAUGAAAAUGAUCUUCUACAACUAGAUUUACAGUUCAUUUAGGGGACAAAAAUCUUAAUUUAAUCUACUGCCAGCUAUUUAAAUAUCUAGGAAAAUGAAGUAUUAUGGCAUACAUAAAUUUACAAUGCAUGGUUUCCUAAAAUCUAAAUCACAUAUGAGCACACAGAGACAUAAAAGCCAUGGUUAAGAUAUAAAUUACCCUUUUAUCUGGGCAGACUUAAAGAUAUAAUUAAGCCCAUAGCUCUCUGGCAUUUGAUACGAACCACAGGAAAUACAGAAUCACCGACUAUUGCCUUUUCCCUGGCAGUAUCUACAAUGUUUUUUGAGUAAUCAUUUCCUGGUACAAACAUACACACUGUAUCUUUAAGUGAUGUAAAAAAGAAAAAAAAGGAUCCUUUUAAGUAAGGAUGACACUGCAUUUUGCAACAGUCAGCACUGCCUGCAUUGUUGAGAGGAAAAGAAGCUCUGUAGUUACAGAAAUUCUACCAUGAGAAUCCACAGCAUCUAGAUAGUACCUAAAGGUCACAAGUGAUUAUAUGAUUGCUUGUAAAUAAGGCUGCUUUUGUUCAUUACACAUAUUAGAAAUGUAAAAACUUCUGACAUCUGACGUAAAUGUGAGCAGGGAAAGACUAAAUCCGUUUUCUCAAAUAGAAUCAUAGAAUAGUUAGGAUUGGAAAGGACCUUAAAAUUAUCAAGUUCCAACCCCCUGCCAUGGGCAGGGACACCUCACACUAAACCAUGCCACCCAAGGCUCUGCCCAGCCUGGCCUUGAAUACUGCCAGGGAUGGAGCAUUCACAACUUCCCUAGGCAACCCAUUCCAGUGCCUCACCACCCUAACAGUAAAGAAUUUCUUCCUUAUAUCCAAUCUAAACUUCCCCUCUUUAAGUAUACAUGCUUCAAGAAGCAUCUAGAACUUCUAUGCUUUGAAAUAAUCAGUAAAUUUGUUGUCUCUUCUUGAGCAGAUAGAACUUUUCUAUCUUUUGAGAUUCAAAAACUGCAUCCCUUCAUUUUAGUUUUAAUACUGGAAAUUAAACACACCCUUCCAAGUUUGUGAUACAAGUAAAGACACACAUGUAAAAGCAAGUGCUACGAACAGCAUGCAGCUUAGUCAGCAGGACAACACUACUGACAAAUAGGGAAGUAAAUACUAAUCUUUAUGCUCUCCCUCCCCAGUGCAGUUUUCCCUGAAAAAGCAUCCAAAAUUCUCUCCAUCUUCAACUGGCAUCUACUCUCUGCAGAAGCUAAAAAGGAGCCUUUUUAUUGGAAAGCCUUUCCAGCAUACCUGGAACUAAGCCAGCUCCUCAUCAUGCCAGGUUUCUGCAUCCCCUCCCAAUCCCAACCACAGCAGAGAACAAGACCACUGCUGUCCAUUUAGCUUUCGUCCAGCGACAGAUAUUUGUUAGGUGGAG
Long non-coding RNA from Pezoporus occidentalis (night parrot), 3946 nucleotides. RefSeq lists it as uncharacterized. The transcript is spliced from 2 exons. NCBI's taxonomy places the organism in Eukaryota, Metazoa, Chordata, Aves, Psittaciformes, Psittacidae. The record is from RefSeq and is a predicted model, not a curated record.